Non-coding RNA from Aegilops tauschii subsp. strangulata, 3928 nucleotides. Lineage: Eukaryota; Viridiplantae; Streptophyta; Magnoliopsida; Poales; Poaceae. The record is from RefSeq and is a predicted model, not a curated record.
CUAUUAGCGCCGCUUCUGUUCCUUUCGGUUUCAGCCCUCCGCCGCCAGCGGCGCUCUCUCCUUCCCCAGCUGCUGAUGCUGCUUCGUCUGGCGGUGCUGGGUUUGCGAAGCUCUCCUAGUUCGGGAGGCGGAAGAUCCGAGGGAACGCCGCGAGAUGGAUGAUGUGUGUGACGAGUGCGGAGAUGUUGGCUAUAGUCAUCUUCUGCUGCGAUGCAUCAACUGCAACAAUGCUGCUAGGCAUAGAUAUUGUUUGGAUGUGAUAAACUUCGAUUCAGCAGUGGAGUGGUCAUGUAGUGAUUGUAUCCCAAGACACAUUGAAGCCAUUAAGUCGCAAGGAGACGCAAAUUGUCAAAGGCAACUAAGGAACACCCAGUUGGAUUGCUCUGUAGUCAAUGAACCAAAUGUGGAGCAAGAGAAGGUAACGAAGGCACGAGGACUUCGUAGAAAUAGACCAUGCCGAGAAAGAGAAGCUAGUAUUGAACAUGUCCCGGGUGGAGACACAUCGAAUCGGGGACGAUGUGUUGAAGAGACAUUAGAUUCUUGUGAAAUCUCUGUCCGGGAUAUACCCAACCUCAUUAAUUGUAAGAAGGAAGGGGAGGAUAUAAAUGGACACUUAAUUUGCACACCGGAGAGUUUAGAUGGUUCAAGUAAUUUGGCUUUGGAUCAUGCUUCAAGUAUUGAACCCAACAAUUUGCAAAAGGCAAUUGGUGGUUCUAAACUUGCUUCAGAUUCUAUGGACUGUCCUGAUCUCCCAAAUGCAAGGAGUGGCUGCUUUGCUUCAUUGAAGUAUGUAGAGGGUUUUGUUCCACCAGGAAGAAAGGGCGAUAUUUUUUCUCUAAUGAAUGAGGUCGAGGGAUCCCGUCCAGUGAUUGUGGAUAAGUCUUGUUCUACAUCGGCAAGUAUGGAGCAAGCAGAUGGUUUAUUGGUAAAGAUAGAGAAAUCUGAACCUUUGAAGUUGGUUAAAGGAUUGGAGGAGACUGUUGUAGCAUCAAAGUUUGCACCAAAUCAUUCAAAGCCGAUGCAAGGAUCAGAUCUGGAGACAGGGAGAGUGGAUGUCUUGAAUCCUCUAGAGCAGCGUUUGGACUCUUGGGCAAUGCCGCUGAUGCAAUCAGGUCCCUCAAAUGAACUAGAAGAUGCGGCUAUUCAGGAAAACGGUGCUGAAAGAACAAUGUGCUUGGUGGAGAUGGAAACCGUUGCCUCUGAAUUGGAGAACCACAAAGGAUCAAAUCCCAAAAUGGCAAAUGAAAGCUUGAGUUGUGGUGAAGGUAACUCAGAUGAAGCAAAUAGAAGAUCAGAUGAGCUUUUAUCAAGCACCAAAUACAAUAAGAUGCGAAGGCGAAUGUGUGUCGCUAGAAAGAUAGUUAACUCUUGCAAGGUAAAUGGAAUUACAGAUCCUGAGCCAGCACAUGGUAACCGAGAUGCAAUAAACCUCCAAUGUAAUGCAGGAAAGACAUCUUCUCUUGCCGUCAAAAAGGUGCCUCUUCAGCUGAUAUUGCAAGAGGAAGGCAUUAACAAUGAGUUAUUGCAAGAGGAAGGCAUUAGCAAUGAGUUAUUGCAAGAGGAAGGCAUUAGCAAUGAGUUAUUGCCUUCCAAGUUUGUUGGUCCAUGUGAGUCAACAAAAAUCAACCCUAGAAAGCGUAAGCAAUCAGAAAAUUACGCUCCUGAUGGAACAAAAUAUCAGAAAGCCUGUAUUAUAAGUGGGAAUGAAAAUGCCAAUGUUGCACGGUCAAAAAGUGGUAGACCAGCACGAACUUGCCAGAACACGCCCAGGAAAGACAAUGGUAGCAAUGAUAAAGUUAUUGGGCACUCAAAGAUGGGAAAAGAUAAGAAAAUUGUUAAGUCAUGGCUGGCUAACAAUGGUAUCCGAUAUUCACGGAAGAGAGGUAUGGUUACAGGUGUCUUGCAGCCCUACUCUCUUCGUAGACGUUCUGUGGACAGAUCAAGACCUUCACGGAAGAGAGGUAUGGUUACCAGUGUCUUGCAGCCCUACUCUCUGCGUAGACGUUCUGUGGACAGAUCAAGACCUUCACAGGAGAGCGGUGUUGUUACCAGUGUCUUGCAGCCCUACUCUCUGCGCAGACGUUCUGUGGACAGAUCAAGACCUUCACAGGAGAGCGGUGUUGUUACCAGUGUCUUGCAGCCCUACACUCUCUGCGUAGGCGUUCUGUGGACAGAUCAAGACCUUCACAGGAGAGAGGUAUGGUUACCAGCGUCUUGCAGCCCUACUCUCUGCGCAGACGUUCUGUGGACAGACCAAGACCUUCAGAAAACAUGGAUCUGGCGCUGAUGGAAAGCAGCUGCGCAUUGAAUAAUCCAAGCAGCAGUUGUGCAGCGCAAGCAUCAGGUUUCUCUUCAAAAUCGAAAGAAUUACGCGAGCGCGAUGAGCCAAAGAAACGAAGAAAACUCAUUUUAACUUAUGACGAAGAGGAAGAUGCCGAGGCCUUACAGGCAGAAGAUCUGAAUUCCCGGUCUUGUGAUGAUGAUGAACAUGUGAUGAAGCAAAGAAAAUGCAUGGAAAAUGCUGCAGAGAACCAGAGAAGAUCUGUAGUAGAAGGUAAAGAAGCUUUGGGGUCGGGAAAUUUGAAUCAAUAUUCGAAGAAUCAUAAGCAGGUGAAGAAGCAGAGAAGCAUAGAGGCAGAGGAAGAUGAAAAUGCAUCUGUAAGAAAUCCGAAUGCUGGAUGUUCAAGGAUGCCAGUCAUUUCAGAAUGUAUUGGCGGGCAACCCCUUGAUAUACCUUAUUGGACUGGAAUCAUGAAGAUCAACAAUAACUAUAUUCCAUUGGCUGCACACCUGUCAACCAAAGCAGGCAAGAAGGUGCAGGAACUGUCAAGAUCACUGCCACCAAUAAUGAAAGUGGCCAAGCUUUCUACAUCAAAAUCAUGUCCGCACUUUGAGGCAUCGAUACCUACAGCUGACAGCAUUGGCUUGUAUUUCUUUUCGGGUGAUAUUAGGCCAAAUAAAGAGCUGGAUGAGCUGGUGAAGCAUCUCGCUGAUAGUGGAAGUGUUCUAGAAGCUGUUGUUGGUUUGAGGAAGCUGAUUCUCUUCCCUUCUGGUGUACUACCAGUGGAACAUCAGACGUUCCAAGGGAAACCCUAUCUAUGGGGAAUGUUCAAGCCCAGAAAAGAUAAGAUCAGAAGAUUACCUCCAGUGGAACAAGAUUGUACUGCACAUGUUUCAAAGGAAGAACAUGCCCAAGAACAGCAUGCCUUGGACCAGGAAGACAAGGCGCAAAGCGACACCCUGGACCCGGUCGUGCAUCCCGAGAAUCAACCCUUACUGGAUGCAAACCAACUAGGAAAGGAAGCGUUGUCUGGCAAUGUCCUGCCCCCUGUUGACGUGGGAGCUCUAGUUUCUGCAAAUAUCGGCCCAGCUGAUCAUGGACAGCCCUGCUCAAAUCCAGAAGCCCCGCCACUUAAACUCUGUGGUUUUGUUGUCUCACGGACACCAAGAUCUGCGCAACUCAUCCAGGAGAUGCAGAAGGAAGGUGCAUUACUGUUCGCUGUGCAGAAGGUGAUGACAGAACCUGGCUCAGUGAUAUAGGACCAGAACAUGCCCGUGGCAACCAUGCUGUGGUUUCAGAGGAGCAUACCUGGAGCUGUUUCCUCUUUAAGGAGCGGCGCGCAGCGGUGGUCACUCUAGGGGUAGAAACAGGCUAGCAGUAGACCUGAGAGUUCUUUAGCUUCAGUGUGGGCUCAUUGUGCCUUGCACCUUCUAUGUCCGUCUCCGUUUUUCUGCUAUAGCUAGCCCCUGUCAUGUUGAGGACUGAACUGUGGUGGUGUAGUGGUGUUCGCUCUCUGUAUGAUGUAUUAAGAGCCGACUUAGCUGAGCUUACUUUUCUGUUGUGCAAGUUGUACAAGUUUGAGCCAAUUUUGCUGAUUGUACUGUAAAAGCAUCUCCUCUGUACAAUAUGAUGCGCAAAUUAUCAUCA